AUUGAAAAUUUCUGUGUUUUGCUAGAAUUGCGAGCUAAAAGGGAAAUUUUGUUGUUCUUAUUGAUUGUGAGUAGUUCUUAAGCAUGUGGUAUGUUACAAGUGCUUCUUGCUGGAAUUUGAGAGAACUACUUACACGUUUUGCUUAGAUUUGAUAUGUGUGAUUUAUGUCUUAAUGCUCUAUGUCUGUGUUUUCUAGUUUCUGUUCAUUUACUAUUUCCUUAGUUUAUGUUUCUAUUUUGAAGAUUUGAGUUGUAGAAGAUGAGGAUGAUGACCUCUGAUACAGAAUCCACCAAGUUUUGGGCUUAUCAAGCUCAGGGAGAUGAGUCAAGGCUUGAAGAGCUUACCUUAAAUGACUUUGUCAAGUUGCAUAAUGUAAUCACAAGGGAAUAAACGAAUAGUAUCCAUGAUUUGUCUGUGUCACCUGAAAACAGAACAAUGACAACAACAUGAGGAAGAGACACCAUUGAUGCAGGUGAAAGACGAAUAGUAUCGAUGGUUUGAUGGCGUCACGUGAGAAGAGAACAAUGACAACAACAUGAAGAAGAGCCGCCAUUGAUGCAGGUGAAAGACGAAUAGUAUCAAUGUUUUGUUGGCGUAUCUUGAAAAACAGAACAAUGACGACAACGUUAUGAAGAGACACCGUCGAUGCAGGUGAAAGACUAGUACGACAACUCUAUUAGAACACAAACCUAAUCUUGUUUGUUCUUGGAGAAUUUUGUAUAUAAUGAUCAUCUCUGUAAUAUAAAUUGUAGAUUUGUAAUCCCAAAACAAUAGUCUUUAUUUACAAUCACAAAAACUUUAACCCUUGCAGA
Molecule: long non-coding RNA, 812 nt
Organism: Capsella rubella
Lineage: Eukaryota; Viridiplantae; Streptophyta; Magnoliopsida; Brassicales; Brassicaceae
Exons: 2
Source: RefSeq, a predicted model, not a curated record